CAAUAGCGUAUAUUAAAGUUGUUGCGGUUAAAAAGCUCGUAGUUGGAUUUCUGCUGAGGAUGACCGGUCCGCCCUGUGGGUGUGCAUCUGGCUCAGCCUUGGCAUCUUCCUGAAGAACGUAGCUGCACUUGACUGUGUGGUGCGGUAUUUAGGACAUUUACUUUGAGGAAAUUAGAGUGUUUCAAGCAAGCGCACGCUUUGAAUACAUUAGCAUGGAAUAAUAAGAUAGGACCUUGGUUCUAUUUUGUUGGUUUCUAGAGCUGAGGUAAUGAUUGAUAGGGAUAGUUGGGGGCAUUCGUAUUUAACUGUCAGAGGUGAAAUUCAUGGAUUUGUUAAAGACGGACUACUGCGAAAGCAUUUGCCAAGGAUGUUUUCAUUGA
RNAcentral lists this ribosomal RNA (380 nucleotides) under uncultured eukaryote. RNAcentral describes it as "partial 18S ribosomal RNA". It matches the Rfam family "Eukaryotic small subunit ribosomal RNA", at positions 592 to 976 of the family's 1831-position model. The record is from RNAcentral.